Non-coding RNA from Pelobates cultripes (western spadefoot toad), 415 nucleotides. Lineage: Eukaryota; Metazoa; Chordata; Amphibia; Anura; Pelobatidae. The record is from the annotation of a GenBank genome assembly.
GUGCUCCCUCGCCGGCCGCCCGCCUGCCAGCGCCGCCCGCCCUGCAGCCACUGGACCACCAGGGAGAGAGACCCCCCCCCAGCACUCCCAAAGGUAAGGAGGUUGGGGGGGGGAUUUAAAUAAAAAAAAAGUUAAUGUGUGUGUGUGUUUGUGUCUGACUGUGUGUGUGUGUGUGUUUGUGUCUGACUGUGUGUGUGUUUGUGAGUGUGUGUUUGUGUCUGUGUUUGUGUCUGACUGUGUUUGUGUCUGUGUAUGUGUCUGACUGUGUGUGUGUGUUUGUGUCUGACUGUGUUUGUGUCUGUGUAUGUGUCUGACUGUGUGUGUGUGUGUGUUUGUGUCUGACUGUGUGUGUGUAUGUGACUGUGUGUGUCUGUGUGUGUUUGUGUGUGUGUUUGUGUCUGACUGUGUAUGUGUG